This 207-nucleotide ribosomal RNA is filed under the name uncultured bacterium. Its description in RNAcentral is "partial 16S ribosomal RNA". It matches the Rfam family "Bacterial small subunit ribosomal RNA", at positions 568 to 774 of the family's 1533-position model. The record is from RNAcentral.
CUCGUAGGCGGUUCGUCGCGUCCGGUGUGAAAGUCCAUCGCUUAACGGUGGAUCCGCGCCGGGUACGGGCGGGCUUGAGUGCGGUAGGGGAGACUGGAAUUCCCGGUGUAACGGUGGAAUGUGUAGAUAUUAGGAGGAACACCAGUGGCGAAGGCGGCUUUCUGGACUGUAACUGACACUGAGGCUCGAAAGCCAGGGGAGCGAACG